AUUGAACGCUGGCGGAAUGCUUUACACAUGCAAGUCGAGCGGCAGCACGGGGGCAACCCUGGUGGCGAGCGGCGAACGGGUGAGUAAUACAUCGGAACAUGCCCAGUCGUGGGGGAUAACACUUCGAAAGAAGUGCUAAUACCGCAUACGUCCUGAGGGGGAAAGCGGGGGAUCGCAAGACCUCGCGCGAUUGGAGUGGCCGAUGUCAGAUUAGCUAGUUGGUGGGGUAAAGGCCUACCAAGGCAACGAUCUGUAGCUGGUCUGAGAGGAUGAUCAGCCACACUGGGACUGAGACACGGCCCAGACUCCUACGGGAGGCAGCAGUGGGAAAUUUUGGACAAUGGGGGCAACCCUGAUCCAGCCAUUCCGCGUGAGUGAAGAAGGCCUUCGGGUUGUAAAGCUCUUUCGGCAGGAACGAAACGGUGAGCUCUAACAUAGCUUGCUAAUGACGGUACCUGAAGAAGAAGCACCGGCUAACUACGUG
Molecule: ribosomal RNA, 484 nt
Filed under: uncultured bacterium
Lineage: Bacteria
Description: partial 16S ribosomal RNA
Rfam family: Bacterial small subunit ribosomal RNA
Source: RNAcentral